GGGCCCGCACAAGCGGUGGAGCAUGUGGUUUAAUUCGAUGAUACGCGAGGAACCUUACCAGGGCUUAAAUGUAGUCUGACAGGGGUGGAAACACCCCCUCCUUCGGGCAGAUUACAAGGUGCUGCAUGGUUGUCGUCAGCUCGUGCCGUGAGGUGUCAGGUUAAGUCCUAUAACGAGCGCAACCCCUGCCGUUAGUUGCCAGCAUGUAAUGAUGGGAACUCUAGCGAAACUGCCGGUGCAAACCGAGAGGAAGGUGGGGAUGACGUCAAAUCAUCACGGCCCCUUACGUCCGUGGCCUACACACGUGCUACAAUGGCCGGUACAGAGAGCAGCCACUACGCGAGUAGGAGCG
This 352-nucleotide ribosomal RNA is filed under the name uncultured bacterium. Its description in RNAcentral is "bacterial SSU rRNA". It matches the Rfam family "Bacterial small subunit ribosomal RNA", at positions 917 to 1269 of the family's 1533-position model. The record is from RNAcentral.